AGAAGUGAAGAGGAUCAGGCUGUAUCAUUUGUCACUGCACUGACUGCCAGGGUUGACUUGGAUGAUCUAGCUGCUUGGUGUCAUUUCCCCCCUUCCCUCCUUCCUUCCAGCUCCACGUGUGUUCUUCUCAAAGUUGCACAUUUAGUCAAAGAGGAUGAUCUUUCUUUGGUCAAGCAUAUACCUGCUCUUCCCAGGUAGAUCCUCCAAACAAGCUCUCAAGGUCCAAAUGCAUACCAGUAUGGCUAUAGUUACUGAAGUUUGCUCUUGGGAUAACUU
This 276-nucleotide small nuclear RNA is filed under the name Mus spicilegus (steppe mouse). Its description in RNAcentral is "7SK RNA (ENSMSIG00000031005.1)". It matches the Rfam family "7SK RNA". Rfam says of the family: 7SK was discovered as an abundant small nuclear RNA in the mid-70s but a possible function has only recently been suggested. Two independent studies have found that 7SK RNA binds the CDK9/cyclin T complex (known as elongation factor P-TEFb). P-TEFb activates transcription by phosphorylating the C-terminal domain of RNA polymerase II. The record is from RNAcentral. Lineage: Eukaryota; Metazoa; Chordata; Mammalia; Rodentia; Muridae.